This 2754-nucleotide long non-coding RNA is filed under the name Mus musculus (house mouse). RNAcentral describes it as "long non-coding RNA chr3:141679570-141682324". Lineage: Eukaryota; Metazoa; Chordata; Mammalia; Rodentia; Muridae. The record is from RNAcentral.
CACACACACACACACACACACACAAAUUCAGGAUGAAGACAUGAGAGUUAAGGGAAAAGUUCCAGUACAUGAGGCCAAAGAGAGAAUCAAAUGUUGUACAAAUUUUGUUGGCUUUUAUUUCUAAAUGAAAUUUUGCCAGAGAGUUAGCAAUUAUCCUUUGGUGCCAAACCAGACACACAUACAAAGGUAUCUACAGACACUAGAACUGAGAGAAUCAUUGUAACCUAUUAAAAAGCAUUUUAGAGAGCAUAUAUCAGUAAGAUGUGUAAAAGUUCUAAGGAAAGCAGAAAACUACCAUUUAUGACAUAUGACAUAAUUUUAUAUACAUGGAAAAUUUAUGCAGUUUCAAAGAAAAAAAAUACAAAUUUUGAGAAUAUAGUAAAUUAGGUGCUGAAAAUAGUGUGACUCAUUAUUUUUUCUAGGUAUAGAUUGUCAAUUCAAAUUAGCAAGGUAUGUCAUUUAGAAUAUCAAUGUAAAAGCAAUUAUAUAGUUAUGAGGUUAAGACAUUUGAAGGAUUUUUUUCCUUUGUGAUACUGGGGAUAGAUCAUAGACGUCAUGCAUGCCGGGCAUGGGAUUCACCACUAAGCACAUACCCAGCUUUAGAAGGAACAUUUUCAAAUUCUACCUAGUUAUAAAAAUAAUUGUGUAAUUGUGCAUGAACACAACACACACACAAAUAUACACACAUGUAUAUAUUGUUCUUGAAUAUAUGUGAUAAAUAUUUUUGAUAUACAUGCCAUCUAUAAGUGAUUCUGAAAGAUUACCACACUUUAAUGUAGAGUAACUUCUAAUAACAGCUCAGUGCAACUUGAAAUAGAAGUGCAAUCAAAUAAUCUUUAAAAACAUAAAAUAAAAGAGAUGUGAUCUUCUCUGAAGAUCACACACAGAUCUACAAUUAAGAUUUGGUUAGAUAAAACAUGAAAAUAGUUUAAAACUUCCAGAAUGUGAUGAUUGUAUGACCAGUUAAAAAGGAGUCGAUUAGUACAUGCAUUGAGAUAUCAAGGCAGGAAGUCAGAAAGGAAAGAAAUAGAUACACUAAAUAUGUAUCCUAUUUCAUUAUUUAAAGUAAGUUCUAGAAGUUAUUGAGUGACGUCACCAUCAUCAUGACCAUCAUCAUCACCACCACCACCAUCAUCAUCACCAUCACCAUCACUAUUAUCAUUCUGGCCAUUUGUUGGUCGGUUACUCGGUUUCAGUAAUGGGACAGCCAAACCUUUUAAAUUAAAACACAAAAUAAAGAAUCUUUAUAGGAAACCAUUAGGUAAUUGAAUUUUAAAAUACCACAAACAGAGCCAAGGAGGAUAUUUUUAAAAACUUAUAUCAACAUUGAUUAACAUGAGUCAAAGAGAUAACUUAAUUACUAUGCAAAUAUUUUUAAAUUACAUUUUAGAAAAUGCACUAGCACCCAUAAGAAAACCAACCAACAUUACAACAUGUAAUUCUAGGCAAAGGAAUGCUAAUUAUAAAUAAACAUCUAAGAAGAUGUUAGCUACUUCAAUACAAGAAUUAAAGACCUUUUUUUUACUGGGGCACAAAUUGCAAUGCCAGUAUGAAAUUAGCACCAGUACUGAAAUACAUUAUACCCACCCCCAUUGCUUCUGCCAGGCAAGUGAGUCUAGGGACUUCCUACAAGUAAAAUUCUGGAUAUAAACAAAGAUUUAGCAUUGCAAGUUGUCUACUGUGCCCUGUUGAUUAUGUUCUUUCCUAGAACUGAUUACUAUAGUGUUGUUGUUGUUGUUGCUGUUGUUGUUUAAGUGAAGUUUUUCCACUAAUGAGACUGUGUAAAUUCUGUUAGAUAAAACUGAACACAAAAUCCAAAUUAGAGAACCCAGCAUCCCUGCUGUAUUUUGCUGCUGUGCAAAGAAGGGAGAUACACAUGUUUUUGUAUAGCAGUUGAAACUUUCUGCAUAAACACACACCAAGAUGUUGACAGCUAAGAAUCUAGGGUGAUGACUUGAGACUUUUGUUGUUUGAUAUUUUUCAGUCUUUUGAAUAUAUUAUUUUCAUCAUAAAUAAUGAAACCCACUGAACAGCUAUGCCACUUUAUUGUAGCUCUCUAUCAGCUACUAUAAAUCCCCAAUCUAGACAAACUGUGUAGAAAUUUCUCGGUCUCUUAUAUUAGAGUUCCUUGCCAUCUUCUGAGACCAAACACUGCAAAGAUGGAAUGGGAAUAGAAUUCUUUCUGGGGUCUUUUGUUUGUUUAUUUGUUUUUAUAAAACUAGAUUCACCUGCAACUUGGGUCCUCAGCUCUAUACUUUAACAUUCUGAUUUUAUUAUUUUGAGGGGACCAUGGUGGUUUUUUUAAAAGCAAGAAAUAUUAGAAUAUAUUAAGUCUUGAAAUACAUUGCAAAACUGAAAUAUUUUUAGUGUCUUAAAAAAAUCACAUUUUUCCUUAAAUGACAGAACAGACAAAAGUCAUUGCAAACACAUUCAUUUUCGAGUUAUAUCUUCCUCAGAACAACACAUGCAAAUCAUAUUUAGUAGCAAUCACAUUUCCUAGCAACUAAGCAUAGCUAAUUGCAUUUAACAAAGUCUCUACCAAGAUAAUUUCACAUUUGAAAAAUUAAUAAACACUUUGAAGAAGAGAGAGAUCUUAAAAAUUCUUUUACUUACUCCUAACCCAGUGGCUUACAUCUGCUGUUCCAUCACUCAGAAGGCUGAGGCAAGAGGAUUGUUAUCAGUUCAAAAGCAAGCCUACCUAGUGAGUUCAAGGUCACCCUAAGCUAUAACUUGAGACCCUUUCCCAACCAAAUU